GACGUCUUUGACGUGUCAAACUUCAGAAUUGGAUUCAGAUGAUCAGGAGGAUAUAGGCAGGGUGAAAAGAGCACCUAAACCAAUCCACUACUAUGGCGACACUAACUAUGAAAGUGAACAUGAAGACUUGGCUAAUAAAACAAAAGUUCCCUUGACAAGAUUUUCAAAACCUCAACAGUCAACUGGACCUUGCAUGUUCUCCCCACAUUCUGCACCUCAGGUACCAUCACCACCUUUACCAUCUGUGCCACCUUGUCGCUCACCACCACAUUCUUUGCUUCAGGUGCCACCUCCUUACCAGUCACUAUUGCUCUCUGAAAAUACAUCAACAAAUUUCCACGAGCCUUCCAAAAAUGAAAAAUACUUCUGAACUCUUCAAGCCUACUUACAGAGUGGGUCAAUGUGGAACAGAACCAAUACCUUGUACUGCUGCAGAUCUUCAUAUCCUCACAUUGCUCGAACAUGUGAAGCACCAGCU
Long non-coding RNA from Polypterus senegalus (gray bichir), 478 nucleotides. RefSeq lists it as uncharacterized. NCBI's taxonomy places the organism in Eukaryota, Metazoa, Chordata, Cladistia, Polypteriformes, Polypteridae. The record is from RefSeq and is a predicted model, not a curated record. The transcript is spliced from 3 exons.